Molecule: ribosomal RNA, 492 nt
Filed under: uncultured bacterium
Lineage: Bacteria
Description: partial 16S ribosomal RNA
Rfam family: Bacterial small subunit ribosomal RNA
Source: RNAcentral
AGUGAACGCUGGCGGUAGGCCUAACACAUGCAAGUCGAACGGCAGCACAGUAAGAGCUUGCUCUUACGGGUGGCGAGUGGCGGACGGGUGAGGAAUACAUCGGAAUCUACUUUUUCGUGGGGGAUAACGUAGGGAAACUUACGCUAAUACCGCAUACGACCUACGGGUGAAAGCAGGGGAUCUUCGGACCUUGCGCGAUUGAAUGAGCCGAUGUCGGAUUAGCUAGUUGGCGGGGUAAAGGCCCACCAAGGCGACGAUCCGUAGCUGGUCUGAGAGGAUGAUCAGCCACACUGGAACUGAGACACGGUCCAGACUCCUACGGGAGGCAGCAGUGGGGAAUAUUGGGCAAUGGGCGCAAGCCUGAUCCAGCCAUACCGCGUGGGUGAAGAAGGCCUUCGGUUUGUAAAGCCCUUUUGUUGGGAAAGAACAGCAGCAGGUUAAUACCCCGCUGUUCUGACGGUACCCAAUGAAUAAGCACCGGCUAACUUCGUG